RNAcentral lists this ribosomal RNA (546 nucleotides) under uncultured bacterium. Its description in RNAcentral is "partial 16S rRNA". It matches the Rfam family "Bacterial small subunit ribosomal RNA", at positions 355 to 896 of the family's 1533-position model. The record is from RNAcentral.
UGGGGANUAUUGCGCAAUGGGGGGAACCCUGACGCAGCCAUGCCGCGUGAAUGAAGAAGGCCUUCGGGUUGUAAAGUUCUUUCGGUAUUGAGGAAGGUUGAUGUGUUAAUAGCACAUCAAAUUGACGUUAAAUACAGAAGAAGCACCGGCUAACUCCGUGCCAGCAGCCGCGGUAAUACGGAGGGUGCGAGCGUUAAUCGGAAUAACUGGGCGUAAAGGGCACGCAGGCGGUUAUUUAAGUGAGGUGUGAAAGCCCCGGGCUUAACCUGGGAAUUGCAUUUCAGACUGGGUAACUAGAGUACUUUAGGGAGGGGUAGAAUUUCACNNNGNAGCGGUGAAAUGCGUANAGAUGUGGAGGAAUACCGAANGCGAAGGCAGCCCCUUGGGAAUGUACUGACGCUCAUGUGCGAAAGCGUGNGGAGCAAACAGGAUUANAUACCCUGGUAGUCCACGCUGNNNCNCUGUCGAUUUGGGGGUUGGGGUUUAACUCUGGCGCCCGUANCUNCGUGAUAAAUCGACCGCCUGGGGAGUACGGCCGCAAGGUUA